UCCGGAAGCGCCGGCAUUGAGACCGGAAGUGCCUUUUGGGCGGCCGGAAGUGCCCAUUUUGCCUCCAGUACCGUCGUUGUUAGGACCGGAAGUGCCAUUUUCGUGGCCGGAAGUGCCCGUUUUGGGUCCCGAAGCUACAUUUUCAGGACCGGAAGUGCCGAUUUUGGGUCCAAAAGCGCCGAUUUUGGGCCAUGUUCUACCACCCCGAGAUCCUGCAGCGCCGCAGCGGCUGCUUCGGGACCAUCUGGUCCUGGAGGAGCCGCUCUUUCUGGCGCCCAGUCCCGAGAUCAUCACCAUGAGGGAAGCGGAGCGCGUCACGCCGGCCCCACUGCUCGAGGUGGGGCGGCCCCAUAGC
Molecule: long non-coding RNA, 355 nt
Filed under: Numida meleagris (helmeted guineafowl)
Lineage: Eukaryota; Metazoa; Chordata; Aves; Galliformes; Numididae
Description: lncRNA (ENSNMEG00000000949.1)
Source: RNAcentral